AACGAACGCUGGCGGCAGGUCUUAGGCAUGCAAGUCGAACGGGUGUAGCAAUACAUCAGUGGCGCACGAGUGAGUAACGCGUGGGAAACUACCCAUCACUGGGGAAUAACGUUUGGAAACGAACGCUAAUACCGCAUACGCCCGAAAGGGGAAAGAUUUAUCGGUGAUGGAUGUGCCCGCGUUGGAUUAGCUUGUUGGUGGGGUAACGGCCUACCAAGGCGAUGAUCCAUAGCUGGUCUGAGAGGACGAUCAGCCACGCUGGAACUGAGACACGGUCCAGACUCCUACGGGAGACAGCAGUUAAGAAUAUUGGACAACGGGGGGAAACCCUGAUCCAGCCAUGCCGCGUGAAUGAAGAAGGCCUUGGUGUAAGUCUUAGUCGUGAAGAUGAUGACAGUAGC
This 401-nucleotide ribosomal RNA is filed under the name uncultured bacterium. Its description in RNAcentral is "bacterial SSU rRNA". It matches the Rfam family "Bacterial small subunit ribosomal RNA", at positions 29 to 479 of the family's 1533-position model. The record is from RNAcentral.